AUACGGGGGGUGCAAGCGUUAAUCGGAAUUACUGGGCGUAAAGCGCGCGUAGGCGGUUUGCUCAGUCGGAUGUGAAAGCCCAGGGCUCAACCUUGGAACUGCAUACGAUACUGGCAAACUAGAGUGUGAGAGAGGAUAGUGGAAUUUCCGGUGUAGCGGUGAAAUGCGUAGAUAUCGGAAGGAACAUCAGUGGCGAAGGCGACUGUCUGGCUCAACACUGACGCUGGGGUGCGAAAGCGUGGGUAGCAAACAGGAUUAGAAACCCCAGUAGUCC
RNAcentral lists this ribosomal RNA (274 nucleotides) under uncultured bacterium. Its description in RNAcentral is "partial 16S ribosomal RNA". It matches the Rfam family "Bacterial small subunit ribosomal RNA", at positions 523 to 796 of the family's 1533-position model. The record is from RNAcentral.